AUGCCGCGUGCAGGCCAUGGGCUGCCGUCGCCGCAUAGGGAGGAAGCUGCACCGUGCACUGGCGGAGGGAGAAGCCCCGCGUUUCCAGUUGGUCCAGGGCCGCGACACCACGCGCCAGGAGAUAGUGGUCGAGGGCAUCGCCUUGCCGUUGUCAUGGUCUGCGACUUCACUGAGGUUGCCGCCUGCGCGUGCAGGCUGCAGUCCUCGGGCGUGUCACACCUGAUACAAGUGUACCAGUGGACACAUGAGAGGUGA
Molecule: ribosomal RNA, 255 nt
Filed under: Triticum aestivum (bread wheat)
Lineage: Eukaryota; Viridiplantae; Streptophyta; Magnoliopsida; Poales; Poaceae
Description: partial small subunit ribosomal RNA
Source: RNAcentral